Molecule: ribosomal RNA, 203 nt
Filed under: uncultured bacterium
Lineage: Bacteria
Description: partial 16S ribosomal RNA
Rfam family: Bacterial small subunit ribosomal RNA
Source: RNAcentral
UGUAGUCUGCAACUCGACUACAUGAAGCUGGAAUCGCUAGUAAUCGCGAAUCAGAAUGUCGCGGUGAAUACGUUCCCGGGUCUUGUACACACCGCCCGUCACACCAUGGGAGUCGGAUAUGCCCGAAGUCGGUGACCCAACCAUAUGGAGGGAGCUGCCGAAGGUGGAGCCGAUAACUGGGGGUGAAGUCGUAACAAGGUAUC